RNAcentral lists this unclassified non-coding RNA (293 nucleotides) under Glomeraceae sp. Its description in RNAcentral is "partial contains 5.8S ribosomal RNA and internal transcribed spacer 2". The stretch from base 1 to 71 matches the Rfam family "5.8S ribosomal RNA", at positions 84 to 154 of the family's 154-position model. Lineage: Eukaryota; Fungi; Glomeromycota; Glomeromycetes; Glomerales; Glomeraceae. The record is from RNAcentral.
GUGAAUCAUCAAAUUUUUGAACGCAAAUUGCACUCUCUGGCAUUCCGGAGAGUAUGCCUGUUUGAGGAUCAGUUUAAAUAAAAAUCUUGGUGUUGCUUUUUUUUAACUCAUCUUAAUUGGGUUAUCUUUGACCUUUUAAAAAGUUUAAGUGACCUAAAAUUGAUACCUUAUGCAUCUCAGACGUACAUAAGAAUAUUUUUUUAUCCUUCCGGAGUUUCCAACUUUUUAUUAGUUAUGACCAUGCUUUUUGUGUCGUCAUACCUAUUAUAUACUCAUAUUUCUACCUCAAAUCA